Molecule: transfer RNA, 77 nt
Filed under: Sinimarinibacterium arenosum
Lineage: Bacteria; Pseudomonadati; Pseudomonadota; Gammaproteobacteria; Nevskiales; Nevskiaceae
Also listed under: 1 other name
Description: Sinimarinibacterium sp. CAU 1509 tRNA-Pro
Rfam family: tRNA
About the family: Transfer RNA (tRNA) molecules are approximately 80 nucleotides in length.
Source: RNAcentral
CGGGGUGUAGCUCAGCUUGGUAGAGCGCUUGCUUCGGGAGCAAGAGGCCGUAGGUUCGAAUCCUAUCACCCCGACCA